GCUCUCAUCACCUAUAUACUCUUCUCUCUGCCCGUCUCUGCUUCCCCCCCCUUCCCCCCCCCCUUUUCUCCCGGCCGACGGAGCUGAAGGGGCGGGGGUUCCUUCCUUGGAGUGUUUCUAGAGCUCGGAGGCUGCUGGUAGGGGGAAGUUGUACCCGUCAGCACCUGCUGAGGGCUUUGUUGUCCAAACCCUGACAGGUAAAAAAAUUCCUGCAGAAUAAAGCCAGACCAGCUGGCUUUGAAGAGAAACCCCCCAGUUUGGGCUGCGUUUGCCUCCUCUCCUUUUCUAUGAAGACCGAGGCUUUGCCCCCUUGAUCGUCAAGCCGUGAGAUGCGUGAUCUCUCUGCACAAGUGUCUGGCAGGCCGAGGUGCACCUGUUUCUGUCACUCUGGAGUAAAUUUAGCUGUAAAGGUAUCACUGACAACCAGACCUUUGUCAGUGCUGGCAAAAGAACACAGAAUUGCUUCCCUCCCCUCCCCCCUCCCGACCCCCUAUGCUGCUAGUUCCAAUGGAAAAUAUCCAAUCGGAAGUCUAUCCAAAAAUCAUUCCUAAAAAAUGAAAUUGCUUUCAUAUGGUAUAAAAAAGUAAGUUUCCUCAUUUCAAGCAGAUUUUAAAAUUACAUUUCCAAGAAUAAUCUUGGAACAAGACAAGUUUUCGUUCAAUUAAUUGUGGCUGGAAACUUUUUAAUGGAAACAUAGCACAUACUUACUUCAUUUCAGGUUAUUAAAUUGUGUUAAGCAUAAAAGUUAUUUGCCAUUCUUUGUUGCAGCUCAUUUGUUCUUUUCGAUUCUAAGAAAUAUUAGAAGGUUAAAUAACUUAUCACAUAGGAGAGAUUAUUCAUACUACCAAAAUUAGAAUGUGUGUAGUUCUGAGGGACUGAAUGUCAAAAUUGUAUGCUCAUAGCACUAAAACUAUUGGGAAUCUAGGAUGCCACUGGAACAUGUAAAAUGGCAGCUAAGGUCUAUGGAAACCCUUCAUGUUUAGAAACUGGCUAAAGCUUGAGUUCUCUUAUCUUUUGGUUAAGGGCACCACUUUCAGAUAAAAACAUAGACCUGAAUGGCAUCAUCCAGUAUCCAAGGAAACCAUGUUCUCUAAACAUGAAUAUGCCUUUGGGGGAAGACAGAAGAACAUGGAAGCCAUGUGAAAAAAACGGAUCCUAAGGCAGUUUUGAACAUCUGGAGGCCUGAUUUAUUGGAGAUUGCAAAUGUACAGUGUAACAUAGCUGUGGAGAGCGAGAAGAUCAGGAUUGUCAAUGCUGUCAUUGCUUUUACUGGAAUCCCCAGCACGAAUUGAAGGUCUCACUUUGCCACCUAGGCUGGAUGCAAUGCAACGGUAUGUUGAUCUUGGUUCACUGCAGCCUCAACCUCCUGAGCUCAUGUGAUCCUCCCACCUCAGUCCCCCACGUCGCUUGGAUUACAGGCCUGUGCCACCACACCUGGCUAACUUUUUUUGUAAUUUUUGUAGAGACAGGGUCUCACUAUGUUUCCCAUGCUGGUCUUUAAUGCCUGAGCUCAAGCCAUCCGCCUGCCUCGGCCUCCCAAAUUGCUGGGAUUACAGGCAUGAGCCACCAUGCCCAGCCUAAUUCUUCUAAAUCUUAUCCUAGUAAUUAAGCCAGAAUUUUUCUCUGCCAAGACCAAUAGAUGGACCAAGAAGUACUCAUCCUUGUAAACUUUCUUUGGAUAAAUUGCUUACAUAUAAUAAAUUCAGAGUUAAGUAAUAAAAAUAAUGAACUACUGUCUUG
Molecule: long non-coding RNA, 1740 nt
Filed under: Homo sapiens (human)
Lineage: Eukaryota; Metazoa; Chordata; Mammalia; Primates; Hominidae
Description: non-protein coding MEF2C-AS1:34
Source: RNAcentral